Molecule: ribosomal RNA, 497 nt
Filed under: uncultured bacterium
Lineage: Bacteria
Description: partial 16S ribosomal RNA
Rfam family: Bacterial small subunit ribosomal RNA
Source: RNAcentral
GAUGAACGCUGGCGGCGUGCCUAAUACAUGCAAGUCGAGCGAACGGACGAGAAGCUUGCUUUUCUGAUGUUAGCGGCGGACGGGUGAGUAACACGUGGAUAACCUACCUAUAAGACUGGGAUAACUUCGGGAAACCGGAGCUAAUACCGGAUAAUAUUUUGAACCGCAUGGUUCAAAAGUGAAAGACGGUCUUGCUGUCACUUAUAGAUGGAUCCGCGCUGCAUUAGCUAGUUGGUAAGGUAACGGCUUACCAAGGCAACGAUGCAUAGCCGACCUGAGAGGGUGAUAGGCCACACUGGAGCUGAGACACGGUCCAGACUCCUACGGGAGGCAGCAGUAGGGAAUCUUCCGCAACGGGCGAAAGCCUGACGGAGCAACGCCGCGUGAGUGAUGAAGGUCUUCGGAUCGUAAAACUCUGUUAUUAGGGAAGAACAUAUGUGUAAGUAACUGUGCACAUCUUGACGGUACCUAAUCAGAAAGCCACGGCUAACUACGUG